Molecule: RNA transcript, 531 nt
Organism: Mus musculus (house mouse)
Lineage: Eukaryota; Metazoa; Chordata; Mammalia; Rodentia; Muridae
Gene: Gm41
Gene name: predicted pseudogene 41
Exons: 2
Source: RefSeq, marked validated
GGGGAGGAACUGGGUCUUACUGCCCGUGCCACAGACGCCUGUCCUGUUUGCUGCUCUGAAGUUGCUCCUGACCAGUACUGGUAAAGUUCUGCGGCCAAGGUUACAAGAUCACCUGCUCUUUCACGCAGACUACUGCUUUCUAUUCCUGACCACAGCCGUCAUGCCCAGAGGAAAGAAGAGUAAGGCCCGUGCUCGUGAGAAACGCCGCCAGGUCCAGGAUGAGGCCCAGGGGCUAACAGAUGCUCAAGCCAAGGCAGGAGAGAAAGGAGAGUCACCUGCCUGCUCUGAUCAUGAGUCUGGAAAUGCUGUUGCAAGCACCUCUACUGCUGGCUUCCAAAAGGGCAGAGUAUCUACCACCUCUGCUGGUAAAGGCAUGGCCUGCAAAAGGUCUGGAAAAGGUGCAAAUGGCCAAGAAGAGAAAAAUGGUAGUUUUUGUAGGGCCCCACUCUCCUCCAGUGGCAAAAGAAUGGAUCUUCUAUCAAGGAAAACAGGAAUGCUGGUAGAGUACAUGCUCUACAAGUACAAAAUUAA